UUUUUAAUUUAUGCUGCAGAAUAUUAUACCCGAAGUCACUUAUGGUGACACUUUACUGUAUAAUAUUAUAAUAUCUGCGCCGCGAGUUUAAUUGACAUUUGUUUACCUCCGUAUAACACUUAUACUCGCCUAUUCGCUGUAAAACGUUUUAACGACUUAAAUAAAAUUAUACACACGUGUAAGUACGCUCGUUUUAAUUCGCGGGUUAUAGUUACGGCGCACAAGGUAAUAUGUUUAAGUGGAUUACACAUGUUAUCUCGGAAAAAAUUAAUUUUUUUUUUUUUUUUUUUUCGAAAUUUGUUUUAUAGAACAAUUCAGAAACAAGCAGCUCCACUAUUUUACAUUUAUGUUGUUUUUCGUCGCGUUAUUUUUUUCGGAUAAAACCAC
Molecule: non-coding RNA, 387 nt
Organism: Cinara cedri
Lineage: Eukaryota; Metazoa; Arthropoda; Insecta; Hemiptera; Aphididae
Source: the annotation of a GenBank genome assembly